This 675-nucleotide ribosomal RNA is filed under the name Mesobacillus subterraneus. RNAcentral describes it as "bacterial SSU rRNA". It matches the Rfam family "Bacterial small subunit ribosomal RNA", at positions 52 to 710 of the family's 1533-position model. Lineage: Bacteria; Bacillati; Bacillota; Bacilli; Caryophanales; Bacillaceae. The record is from RNAcentral.
UACAUGCAAGUCGAGCGGAUCUUCAUUAGCUUGCUUUUGAAGAUCAGCGGCGGACGGGUGAGUAACACGUGGGCAACCUGCCUGUAAGACUGGGAUAACUUCGGGAAACCGGAGCUAAUACCGGAUAAUCCUUUCCCUCUCAUGAGGGAAAGCUGAAAGACGGUUUCGGCUGUCACUUACAGAUGGGCCCGCGGCGCAUUAGCUAGUUGGUGAGGUAACGGCUCACCAAGGCGACGAUGCGUAGCCGACCUGAGAGGGUGAUCGGCCACACUGGGACUGAGACACGGCCCAGACUCCUACGGGAGGCAGCAGUAGGGAAUCUUCCGCAAUGGACGAAAGUCUGACGGAGCAACGCCGCGUGAGCGAUGAAGGCCUUCGGGUCGUAAAGCUCUGUUGUCAGGGAAGAACAAGUAUCGGAGUAACUGCCGGUACCUUGACGGUACCUGACCAGAAAGCCACGGCUAACUACGUGCCAGCAGCCGCGGUAAUACGUAGGUGGCAAGCGUUGUCCGGAAUUAUUGGGCGUAAAGCGCGCGCAGGCGGUUCCUUAAGUCUGAUGUGAAAGCCCCCGGCUCAACCGGGGAGGGUCAUUGGAAACUGGGGAACUUGAGUGCAGAAGAGGAGAGCGGAAUUCCACGUGUAGCGGUGAAAUGCGUAGAGAUGUGGAGGAACACC